RNAcentral lists this long non-coding RNA (31366 nucleotides) under Medicago truncatula (barrel medic). RNAcentral describes it as "long non-coding RNA (MTRU_LNC008253)". The record is from RNAcentral. Lineage: Eukaryota; Viridiplantae; Streptophyta; Magnoliopsida; Fabales; Fabaceae.
UAUCCAGCAUCAUAAGAAGAAGCAUCAGAAAUCAUAUCUCCAAUCAACAUCCCACCUAAAGCACCUCCAAGCAACCCUGCUCCCAAUCCCAUUCCCAUUUUAUUCUUCUUAGGCUUCUGUGCUUGUGCCCCUGGAUAUCCAUAACCCGGUUGUUGCGGCGGGUAUCCAUAACCCGGUUGUUGUGGUGGAUAUCCAUAACCCGGUUGUUGUGGCGGGUAACCAUGACCCUGUUGAGGUGGAUAGCCAUAACCUGGUUGAGCUGGUGGAUAACCACCAGGUUGAGCCGGUGGGUAGCCACCAUAAGCAGCCGCUGCCGGUGGUGCAGGUGGAUAUCCAUAACCCGGUUGUUGCGGCUGAGGAGGAUAAGGUGUACCAUACGGCACCGAGCUAGACCCAGCUGCCGCCAUUCCAGGUGGAGGAUAAGCCAUCACCGGUUCAUGUUCGUUUUUUCCCUUCACCGGUUCAUGUUUCGACGUUGUUUUCAUCGCCGGAGCUUGGACUUUUUCGCCGAAUUUGUAAGAGAGGUUUAAGUUUCCUUUAGCUUUCCCUGAAGAUGUUCUAACCUGAUAAUUAACCUGCCGGAAAGAAUCUCCGGAGGGGUUAUCAAGAAGCUCCUUGAGAGGGAUAUGAACCUUGCCGAUCAAGGUAUCGCCGGCAACGGUACGAUCGGAGAUGAGUUUGACCUCGAGAGAGAGACGAUUCUGGUUAGCGAGAGAAUCGUUGAUGGUGAAUUUGACGGGGAAGUUCCAUGUAGGGCUUGUUCCACCGUCACGAUGCCUGUGGGUGGUGGCAGUUUGUGGGUUUAAUGGAUCGCCUGAGAUUGAAACGACGGCGUAAACGUCCAUCUUGGAGAAAAGAUUAACAUUUUUGAGAUCUUUAGCGGAUAUGAUGUUGAGUUCUAAGGUUCUAUAUUCCAUGUUCAUGAACAAAGAAAGAUUAAUAAAGAGUUUGAGAUUCGAGAGAUUUUGUGUUGUUGUUGUUUGUUAGGUUUUGUUUUGAUUAAUGAAUUUUGUGUGUAUAAAUAUAACAAGGUUUUGAGAUUUCUGGAUGUUUAUACGAUGUAACAGAAGGUAUUUAUAAUUUGUUACAGGAAACUUCCAGGUAAGUACUUUUUUAUUAGUAUAGUAUUUUACGCGUAACUUAUGUGUUAAUGUUAUUUUGUUUGGAAAAGAGGUUGAUCAUAUUUCUAAUUUUAUUUACUCUGUUAUUUAUCUAUCUGUUGAUAAUAGUUAUCCACAAAUAUGAGAGGCGGUUUGUGUGUGUGUGUUUUUUUUUUAUAUAAUUUAUUUACUCUCAUACUCGAGAUAAAUAAGCCUAUGAAAGUUGACAUUUUAGGUUUGAAACUGUAAUAUUGAUUAUUGAGAUAAACGCACAGCCUUAAGUAUACAUCACAAUACCGAACCCGAAGUUAAUGUUUAGACUUUUAUGUCAAAUCAUUAAUAAUAAAUACUUUAGAAGUUUUUUUUCUUAAAAAAACAAAUACUUUUAGAAGUUUUUGCACAAUACAUCAUAAUAAAAGUUGGGUUUAAUUACACUUUUGGUCCUCGUGUUUUGGCCUACUCAUGAAACUGGUCUUGCCCUUUUAAAAUAUAACAAAACGGUCCUUCAACUAUCAUUUUUGUUGCAUUUUUGGUCCUACCCCCCAUUUUAUUCUCCAAAAACGCAGAGAAAUGACAGUUUUAGACCUACCCCCUAUACUCAACCAUGAAAUAAACAAGAAAUAAAGCAGGUAGGUACAAAGAAUCCUCUUUAUUCAACACACUAACCAAAAAAACCCUAAUUUCUAAGAUAUGUUUCAAAUUACGGUUUUUUGGGUUAAUGUGCUGAAUAGAAUAGAUUCCAGUGCCCACAUGUUUUAUUCCUUGUUGAUUUCAUGGUUGAGCAUAAGGGUAGGUCUAAAUUCGCCUAAAACUGUCAUUUCUCUGCGUUUCUAGAGUUUGAAAAUAGGAGGUAGGAUGAAAAAUGCAACAAAAAUAAUAAUUGAAGAACCAUUUUAUUCUGUUUUAAAAUGGCAUGACCAGUUUCAUGAGUAGGCCAAAACACGAGGACCAAAAAUGUAAUUAAGGCUAAAAGUUGAUAUUUUCCUUUUUCAAAAAAAAAAAAACUAGUUUCUAAUUUUUUCAAAAAAAAAAGAAAAUUAGUUUCUAAUUUUUUUUGAACAAGUUAAAAUGAAAUAUAUUAACAAAAAUUUUGAUCCCUAACAGAUUUUUGUUGCGUGCGCUUAAUUGUAUGUCCAUUUAUUGCAUCUCACGUCUACUUUUUGAUUGAAGCCUUUUAUUAUUUUGACCACCCUGUAGAUUAAUUUGACCAUGGAAGUUGUUGUGAUCUUCUGUGGAUGUACAAAGAGUUCUUUAUGCAAGUUUCCAACACUUAAAAGUGUCUUCUAAACUCCACAAAGUAAAAAUCAAGAGUUUUCACAAAUGAUUGUUUAAGCAAGAGAACCACUAGUAAUUCUGAUAGGUAUUCCUAACACCAAACUCAACACUUGUUUGUUAUUAGAUCUACCAUGAGGCCAUAGUCUCUUUACAAGUUCAUCAAAAAUGGGAAGUAUUUCAUGGGUGAAGUAAAAGAGUUUUCUCAUUUCUAUAAAUGCUUUGUAGAAAUCAAACUCGUUAUCUCCUAGGUUUGGCAAAUCUAUCUUAGUUCUCCCAUGAUUUCAAGGCUUGGACGAUCAUGACCCAUCAUCAUGGAGCAAUGAUUUUAAGGUUUGGGUUAUUAUUUUCCAUUUCAAUUAUGAAGGUUCAGAGACGAAGGAAGAGUAACAACUGAGAGAAUGUACAAAAGGUUUUGUUGUAAAAUUGGAAUUGGAAAUUAUCACAUGUAAGAAAUUAAAGAGAAAUAUCAUAACAAAUAAAUAUGACUAAUAAUAAAGUAAAAUAAAAAUAAGGAACUUAUCGAAUUUAAUUGUCGACAUGGCUCCAUCAAAAUCUUCACAAAUUAAAUUAGAAGAAACCUGCAAAACAAUACACUGUUAUGUAACCUGAGGCGUGACAUAGUCACUGUCCUUGUGGAUUUUAUCCGCCUCAUAAGUACACAUCUUCCCAAGAUACAACAUGUUCUUCCCCGUUAUGAAUCAUAACCAAAGGUGACAGAAUAACUCAAAUUUAUCUCAAAGAUAUCAGGAGAUGUAACCUAGAAACCCAGUUAAAAAAUAUCAUAAAUCAACGAAAGAUUUUUAUUUGUAGAAAUUAUAAAAAGAAAAUCAAUUGUUUGUCUCCUGAGAAGUCACUUGGUUGAGAGUUUCUCUCUUCAACCUCGAGAAACUCGGUUUGAGCUCUGACAUCCAGAAAAAAGAAAAUCAAUUUAUUUAUAAAGAUAAAAACUUCUUACAAAUUUAUAUUAAUUCGAUGAAAUAAAAAGAUUCAUGAUAAAAAUGUCACCUAUCAACUAAAUUUUUCCCUAGAAAAAACUAAAGUUUUAUCUUUCCUUUUAAGAACAACUAUUUUUUUUUUAUCUUAACCCUCUAGAUCAUAAAAAAAAAAAAAGAACAUAGUAAUUUAAAAUUCGACCUGAAAACAAGUAAAAUCCAGGCAUGGAAUUAUUCUAACAGGAAUCGAACUUGGGGUAACUAUUAUUUUAUUUUUUUACAUUCGAAACAAAAAUCAAAUAAAUAAGUAGUCUUUGUAAAAAAAAAUAUAUUUAUCAAUAAAAUCUAGGCAUGAAUUAAUUUUAUUUUGAAUUUUUUAAAUUUACGAGGUCUUGUUAAAAAAAAAACAAUAAAUAAGUAAUCUUUGUAUUCUUCUUUAAAAAAAAUAUUCUACAUUUUGUCAAUAAAAAAAAAAAAAAAUCUAGAUCCGUUCCAAAAAAUAUUCGAGAUACUUCUUAAUUCUCAAACAUGAUUGAUAUUCACCACACUAAGUCACGUGUGAUGCAUAUGUAUGACCAACGCGGGUAGAGUCUUGAGACACGGCUUGGACGCGCAUUUGAUGACGUUGGCCCUAUAAUAUCCAUUUCCAUAUUCUUAAACUUUAAGGAAGGAAGUAAAUUUCGUCAACUCAUGUCUGAUGUUGAUAUUUUAAGCACACUGAUGAGAAUGAUUUUUUAUGUUCUGUAUCAAAUUAUUGCAUUAAUGUUUUUAGUUUUGUUAUGAGUUUUUUCAUAUGAAGGUCAUACGAGUCUUAUUUGUUGGGUAUUGGGCUCCCUUUCUAUGUGGGGAAAAGUUUAAAUAUGUUAGUCAAUUAUGUCUCACUUAUAUAAGUGGAAAGAUGUCAUAUUAUAAUGAAGAAGAGAGUGAUUUUGUGAUGAUAGUAGCCACCAAAAAGAGAGAGAAAAGAAGAGAGAAAGUCAAUAUCGUUUUUAUCACGUCUGUCUCAGUAAAACAAUGAUUUCAACUCGUUAACCGUUGGAUCGGGCUGAUUUCCUGGGUCUACCUUUUCACCGUUUGGAUCGUCGAAACAAGGCCUGAGCUGAGAGAAAUUCGCCACACACAGAAGCAGUACUUUUAGAGUAUUUUCAUCUUUUUGUUCUCAUUUGCAAGCUUUGUUGCUUUGUUGUUUUGGCUAGUUGCUGGCAGUUGGCACUAUUUGUGCAUCAUUUUUUAGACUCUUUUGUACCCAUGUUUGAUUAUAGUGGAUCUAUUUCAUUGGUCUGGACGACUCGUGGUUUUUACCCUUACAGUAAGGGGUUUUCCACAUUAAAACAUUGAUGUUCUCUUAUGUCUUUUAUUUGCUUUCACUGCUGUCGUUUAUUUGUUGUCGCUCCUCAUAGAUUCUUGCAAGUUUGGGGAAUUUUAUUUUCUCUGUAUAUUUUGGUGUGUUGCCAUAUUUAUGUGUUAAUUUCCCAACAUUAUAUAUAUUUAAACAGUAGGUUUAUCAUUUGAAAAUUUAAUUUCCCAUUACAAAAAUUUGAAAAGUAGGAAAGCUCUAUCAUGAGAAGCCAUAUCUGAUUCAUUGUUCUCGUUCCUUUGCCAUAGCAUAGCAUUAGCAUCCAAUCCAAGCAAGCACCUUUCAUGGAUGAAACCAACUGACUUCAAGAAAGUUGACAUUUACUUCACAUGCUUUGUACUUAAUUAUUCCAUAUUUUAUUUAGAAGAAUGAUUACGUAUAUUUAUUAGUAUAAAAACAUAUAUUUUAUUUUUAGGGAAUCAAGUACAUAAUUUUAUAAAAACAAAUAUAUUGAAGUAAUCCCCUAAAAAAAUAUUGAAUUAAGAUUCAAUCGGGAUCAAAUUAGAUACAAGCAUCUUACAGUCAUUCAUAAUAAGAGAGUACAUGUAGUGGGAACAACAUGGAAAAUAAACGGGCGAGGAGGAGAUAAGGCGGCUCUAGCAAUACUAUGAGCAACCUUAUUUACAUACCUCAUAACAAACGACACCAUAAAGUUGUGAUUACUUAACAAGAUAUUUUUACAUUGAACCACAAGGUCUCCAAAUUCAUUGAGGGGAGUAGUAGUAGAGUAAAGUGCAUUCACCAAGGAUCUACCGUCAGUUUCAAAUAUAACAUUAUGCACACCAUUGGAGAUUGUCAUCUUCAUAGCUUCUAGCAACCCAAUGGUUUCCACUUCAAGAACAGUAGCAGAAAUUUGCAAGUAAUAUGAUUUUCCAAGUAAAAUUUGCCCCAAUGAAUCUCGAAAGCACAUACCAUAUACACUACCAUGGAAUUGUUGUUGAAAAUAGAGGCAUCCACGUUGCACUUGAUCACACCAUUUGGAGGUUUCCUCCAUGAGAAGAUGUUGUCCGGCCUUUUGCAUUCAGCUCUACUCGCGGUGAACAUCACGGGCACGAGAUACGAUGGCACUGGGGUAGUAUCGAUAUAUUCCCAUAACUUCAGAUUGCGGCUCUUCCACAAACUCCAAAGAGUCAUGGCAGUUGUUAGCCUUUGAUGUUCUGUUAACCUGUCAAGUAAAUCAAAUAGCAUAGCCGUAAAAUUAUCUACCAUUUGUACCAUAUUUCGGAUCAAGCUGUCAAUACCAAUUAUUUUCCAACAAGUUGUGGCCUAAGUGCAAAUAAAAAAGGUGUGCAUAUGCGACUCCGUAAAAAGAUUACAAGAUACACGUGAGUCGUCACAAGGAAUACCACGAACAAAAAGGUUAGACCGGGUAGGCAAACUUUGAUGAGCGAAACGCCAAAGAAAGGAACGAACUCUCGGUGGGACCUUUAAAUUCUAAAGGAGCUUCCAAGAAGGGGUGAGAUGUGUUGUGGAUGAUUCUUGCAAGAGAUCGAUGCAUAUUUUGUACGCAGAUUUUACCGUAUAGGAGCCAUCAAGUGUUGAAUUCCAGAUACGGCAGUCUUCACUUGGACAGUUAUAAAGAAGAGUGGAGAGAAUGACUGUGGCGUCCGAAUGUUUUUUUUUUAUUUUUUAAAUCAGCAAAUAUUAUUAAACGCCAUCCCCGCAAGACGCAAGGUAUGGACGAAACAAGAUACAAAUGGUGCCGCAUAUAGACGGUACACCAUAACAACCAAACAAGCUCCUGAAGAUAACCCACCAAAUCACAUCAUCACCUAAGACGAACACCUUAACAGAAACAAACACUGUAAAAAAAAAAAGAUUUGUGGUUGCAAUAUUUAUAUUGUGAUUGCAACCACAAAUCUAACAUGGAAACUUUAAAGCGGAGAAAUAGACUACUCUCAAACACAUACCAUCCCCAUAACAUCCACACCCUACAAAGUAAAUACCUAACUACAUCUCACAACACUUUAAGACAAGAGUAUAAGAGAAAUAAAAAAAGUCUGAUAUAAACUUAAAGUAUGACUAGUUCAUUUUGUAAUGAAGAAAUAGAACCUAUAUAUAGGCAUUACUUUGCUCGUCUUGCACUUCGAGAACACAACCCCAUAGCCUACAAUACUUGUCAAGCAAGAAAGUAAACAAACAUAGAAACCAUAUUACUUGUCUUGCACUAAAAGAAACAACGUUACAACCUACAAGACUUGUCAAACAAGAAAGUAUACAAGCGAAUGAGUCUCCUUGGUUGUCUUGCACUUUAACCUCUUCCUUUACAAUUUUAAGCAAUGUGAGACUUCUUAAACAUGUACGUUUUCAACUACGAAAACAAUCUCCACCUUAAUUGAAAAUGAUACAUCUACUUUUAUUGUCUUCACCGGUUCAAAAGAACCAUCAUACUCCACUAAAUAGAGUAUAAUCAUUUUAAGCUAAACCACUUCAAGAACUUUCACAUUGGGAAGCUUCUUCGACAUGUAUUAUGUAUAUUUUCAACCAACACCAACAUACAUUAUGCAUUUCUAGAACUUAUUUGCAUCCAAAACCUUUGAUUACCGUAAAAAAUAACUUUGAAUCAUCUCAUCCAAACAGUAUUGAGUCGGUGCUAUGCAUAUAUGAAAAUAAAUAUCAUGAAAAUAGGGGCCAUUCCUCCCAAGCUCAGCGCUCGGCUCACUUAAAGGACUAGACUUUUAAAUUGCACUUGUAGUGGCGAAGAAAGUUUACACUUUAGAUUGAAAGCAAGAACUUGUGGAUGGUGAAGAUUGCAUAUUCCUUUUCUUAAUGCUUAGACGCGUUGAAAGUUUGUGGUCAAACUGUUGCAUAUGGACUAUGGUCCUGAAUAUUAUCACUUUCCUAUAUAUGUCUAUCAUCUAAUUUUAUAAUAUUGUGGUCGUUAUUAGUAUAUUAAACUGUACUUGCAGAAAAGCACAAUAACAUAAUUUAAGUUUAGACUGUUUAUGAGAUGCAUUGAAAGUGCUCCUAAGGUGGUAUUCAUAGUCUCUUUAUGAGUUUAUUUUAGCGUGACUUCAGUCCCAAGGAAGUUGGGCCUUUGGUCUUUUAGGCGGUUUCUAGAAGCUAAGAAAGGCGGCGUCCUAGGAAGGACGCGCCUAGAUCUCAGGAGCCCUUCUGGAGGGCGUCUGAGCCUUUUUAGAGGACUUUAAGCCUUUCUAGAGGGUUUUUAAGCUUUUAAGAAUAUUAUGACGGUCCAUAAAUCAAAUUUGUGACUAAUUUUCAUUUAAGUGUUUUCAUUCUUCAAUAAAAAAAGAAUGCAAUUUUUUUUCACAAUUCUUUGUGUGUGACUAGAUAACCAAUAUAGUUGCUUCUUUUAAUAUGAAUCACACAUGUAGAUAAUCAUGAUUUAAAAGAUUCUAAAAGAAUCCCCGCUCCCUUUUCCAAAGUUUUGGAUGAGAGGAAGUUUGUGUUUCCAUUCAUGAUUUGGUUGAUAAAGACGAUUUAACAGUGACAAAUUAAAAGGGUAUUGAUAUCAUAUAUAAAAAUUUAGAUUUCAUAACUAAAUACUACUUUGCCUAAAAAAAAAAUAAAAAAAAAACUAAAUACUACUUGUACAUUAUUCAUGUGUUGUGACAAGUAACUUUUCCAAAAAGAAUUGUAUAUCUUGGUUAAAAAAUGUACAUUUGCAUCCCUUUGGAGAUAAAAUCUUUGAUGAGCAUAACCCUAAAUUAAAAUGAUUUGGGCACACUUACAAAACAUAAAAAAAUAAUUGAUGUGAUUGAUUUAUUUUUGUUUUAAUUUUUUUCAUUUUAUGCAAGUGUGUCUAAAUCUUUUUAAUUUAGGGUUAGUGACUGUAUUAGACUUUCUCUCAUUUGGAUCUUCUCUAGAAUCAAUAAAUUCGUUGUUUAAACCCAAAGGCAAAUUAUUUGGAGUUUAACGGAGAUACAUCGACCAUGUAGUUUUACACCGUUGUCUAUUAAGAAUAUAUAAUCUUUUUUUUUUUUUUUUAAGAAACAAAAAUGGAAUAUAUUACUAUGAACACCGUAAUUGUUGAAGCACAAGACGUGCCAUAACAAUCACGAAAAGAUCACAACCCCAAAAUUACAUCAAAGAUAAUCGAUGCCCAUAAUUAAAAGCGGGCUCGACCACCAACUAUGUGUACCAAAAAUAAAGACUAUGUUACUAGCUUUCAACCACCACAAGGUUUGUGAUUUUACUUUAUCUAGCAAUAGUGAUAUAGAACUUUGACGAUUCUGAAAUAAUCUGUCAUUCCGUUCAUUCCAUAAAACUGAAACACACUGAAGCCAAAUCAAAUGAAAGAAGGAACGACAAGAUUUCAAGCCACCUGCAUAUUCAAUAAAUUGCACAAAAUGAUCUAAGAUAGCAUGAGAAUCUACCCCUUCGACACCAAGCCAAGCCCGCACCAUAGGCCACAAUGCAUCAAAAAUUGGACAAGACAAAACAAAUGAUUCACAUCUUCAACCUACCCACAUCCCGUUACAUAAAACCGAGCUUCCACAGAUAGAAUCCCACGUUCUACCAAAUUUGAUUUAGUAGGUAAACGAUCCCUCAACAGUCGUCAAGCCAAGAUAGAAACUUUUAAAGGAACCUGUUUAUGCCAGAUUAACUCCAUAGUUUGAUGAACAUGAGGUCGUUCCUGUGAUGUCAACAUGUCAUAUACACCACGAACAAUAUAACCUUUAAUCUGAUCCGGCAACCACAACCACCUGUCUGUUUCCUGCAAAGAGACUGUUAGUAAUAAAUCCAUACACUCUACUAACAAUUCCUCCUCCCAUACCCAUAAACGACGACGCCACUGCCCCCNCCCCCCACCAUCCUCCACCCCCAACAAAAACAUGUUCCGCACCGUAAUUACUUUAUUGACAGCUAAAUCAUAUAGCCGCCUAAAACGCACACACAACGGAACACUACCACACCAACAAUCUCGCCAAAUAUCGGUAUCGGCUCCAUCCCUCACCCUCCUCCACACAACCUGCAAACCAGCCCUCCCCACCCUCGCCUAUCCCAUCUCUAAUCCUAGCUAUCUCCCUCCACCACGAAGAACAACUCCGGCCCCCAUCCUCCAAACCACCAUCCGCCAUACCAUACCUAGCCAACAACACCCUACACCACAAACCACCCCUAUCAACUAACAAACGCCAACACCAUUUCACCAACAGAGCAAUGUUAAACUCUCUCAACCUCCUAACACCCAACCCUCCAUACUCCCUCCUCAAACACAAAGAACUCCAACCAACCCAAGAAAUCUUUCUUUUUUCCUCACAACCCCCCCAAAAAAAUUUAUUUAACAAAGAUUCAAUAGAAGAGAUUAUACCUGACGGAGCUUUAAAAAAGGAAAGUGCAUAAACAGGAAGCGCAGUCAAGACGGAUUUGAGAAGUAUCAAGACGGAUUUGAGAAUAUAUAAUCUUAUCAUGUAAGUAUAUAUUAUAACUGUUUUUUUAAAUAACCGACAAAUAUUUAAUUUUUAAUGGACGUCAGUAUAAAACUAAUUGACACUGAUUGUGUAUAUUUCUUUUUCUCAAUUAUUUAUUUAUUAGUUAUAGUUUUUCUAAAGAAAUUUAUUAUUACUAGUUAAAAUAGUAAAUAUUAAAUAAUAACCCAAGUGUUAGGGUUCUCUCAACAACAAAAAAAAAAACAUGUGUUAGGGUGUUAGGCUGUUAGCGGGUUGUGUGGGGUUGAAUUUCAUGGAACUCAAUAUUCAAAUCAAUCAAUUGACAUGAUAUGUUAAUAAUAUCUCUCAAUGCUAACAAUAUCUCUUUUUUAUAAGAAUUGACAUGACAAUAAAGAAGUACUUUAUAUAUAUAUAUAUAUAUAUGACCGUAAGUAAAUAUAUUGAAGCAUAAUAUUUUAACGUCGGAGACCAUUUUGAUUAACAUAAUGCAUAAUCAUAUACUAUUUUAAAAUUUCGAUACAAUGAGAGAUUAUUGUAUUUACUCAUUACACAUUCAAGGAUGAAAAUGACCAUUUGACCAGUUAAAUUUAAGCUUCAAUUUUAACAAUUAAAAAAAAUAGAUUUGUGAUUUGAGUCAAGUGAGUUUAUAAGGAUUUGAGUGUCGACCAUUUGUGUCUGGCAUAGUACUUACACUUAAUUUGCAAGAUUUAUUAAAUAUAUAAUUAAGAUUUUAAUGAAUAUGCUCGGUCAAUGUAGAUUAAUUUUACACUGCCAUCCUAUAUGAAUAAACUGUUUCUAUUUGACAUACCAUUAAAUUAGAGUGAAGUGAUUUGACGAAAUACAGAGUUGUUAAUGGAUGACGAACCACUUGAGGUUUAAACAAGUUUGUUAUGCUUGGAUCUCAAUUUGAAUGAAUGCGGGUAAAAUAUGAGUUUGAUUGAUUUUUUGAUCGGUCCAAUGACGGUCGAGGAAACAAAAUUGUGGUUUACGAUGCUCUGGUGUGACGGAGGUCGAGUCUUCAUGGUGGAAGAGGAAAUUGUCUACAAACAUGUUAGCACUUCAACGCUUAAACUAGUAAUUGAAAGAGAUGGUUAUGUGCGGAAUAUGGUAAAAGUGAAGUGUACCUCGAGGGUGACGCUCAAUCUCCCUUAUAUAGGCGCAGAAAGCGCGAAUGGUCUCCGCAAAAUUUGACACCUUCUUAGGAGGCCGUUGGUGAUUGCGUGAACGGUGGUGAUGGAGUUAGGGUGUACUUUUGUGCGGUGAUCUGCACAGGACUUCAGAUGCUCCUUCACCGUGUUUUGCCUUGUUUGUCUUGGGCUUUGACUUAACGUACCUUGCUUUAUUGGGCUUCAAGCUGGUCUGAAACAAUUUGAAUCAUCAGAAAAUUGCUCUUCUCCCUUUCAAAAUUACUCAUUCUCUUAACUCAGCGGAAGUUAACUCCGUCUAAGCAUUUAUCAGCGUGAAUUAUCUUUCGCUGACACUUUUAAGAUCAGUACAAUCACUUUUUAAGCCGAUUCAACUGAUCUUAAAGGUGCUAGCGUGAGUUAACCCACACUGAAAAAUAUCGAACGGGAAUUAACUCCUAUUAAAUUAAGGGAAUGAUUUUCGAAUCACUUAGUUGAACAAACCAUGCGGACCAUGAACAUCCUUGCCUAUUUGCUGGAUGGUGACAAAUUUGUGUAGGUGUUCCCCCCUUUGACACUGUAUUUUGUUGUUUUCCUGCAUAACACCAAUGCAAAUGGCUGGCUUCAUGUACAUUUUGUGACAUAACUAAAGUACUGCUUGCAAGUUGUACUUCGAGCUAUGAUUCUUUUUACUUUUAAAAACUAAAAUUCUAUUGUUUAAUUGACUAGAUGAGAGAGAAAAUAAUGAAAAAAAAUGUCGAAUUUGGGUUUUUAUUCAAUAUAUUUUGAAAAAAUAGUCCAAAAAUGUUUGAGAGAAGCUUAUCCAAAUCAUAAAACUCCCGAAAGGUCAUAAAAAGCAAAACCUGCCUUUCUUUCAUUUUACCCCUUGAUCAUUCUGACCAAUCGUAACUAGAAUUUUUUAUAUUGUUUUUCAAUGGCAAAGAAAGAGUAACGUAGUUAAUUAUUAUUAAUUAAAAUCAUUAUUAUUAGUUAAUAUUCGUCUCUGCUAAAUUCCUGCAAAUUCUCUCAGACGGAGGAAGGAGGUUACAUCGCCGCCAUCAAUGUCUUCUCCUUUCUCCAUCCCCACUUUCUGGUACGUUCUCUUCUCUACCAUUUCUUGCAAAUUUAUGAUGAACCCUAAUUUUUCUCAAGCAUUGUGUGUUGUAGAUAGAUUGUAGUUGGAAGGGAAAGAGGCAAUGGAGGAGGAGACAAGUCAAUGGAAGCAAGCUUUGAUUAAUUCAUCAGCUGGUGCUAUUUCUGGUGCUAUUUCACGGACUGUCACCUCACCUCUUGAUGUUAUUAAGAUUAGGUUCCAGGUCUCUUUCUACUCUUCUUCUUCUUCUUCUUAGGAUUUGUUGCUUAUUGUUUAAGAAUUUAUCAUAUAACUGUGUUGUUUCUAUAAAAAAAACAUAAAAUAAAGUUAUACUCUUUUUGCAUAGACUAUAGUUUUUGAAUAAAUUGAUUUUACUUCGAAAUGAGUUGAAUGUGAAAUGGUUUAUGUUUGGAUAUAUUUACAUGAUAUAUUUACAUCUUGAAACUUUAACAAAAUCAUGGUACUACCUUGAUUUUGUCAAAUUCAAUGCCAACUCAUACACUCACUUCACCAUUCACCACCACUAUGGGGUUGUUUGUUUUGGGGGAGGUUCAACAUAUGGUAUCAUGUAUUUUCACUCAACCCUUUCUUUUUGAAAGACAUAUCUUUGUUUCGAAAGUAUUGUAGUCAUUUAUUUGACUGCAAAUAUUUGCUUAAAAAUAAUUUUCGAUGUUUGUGUGAUGAAUAACAUACACAAGAAUCAACACCAUCUCUGGUGUGGCAAUAUGUCUUUAUGAAUACUGGCAUUUUUUUAUGGUUAGAAGAGCCGACUUUACCUGACAUGCUGAGGCUUGCUUACAGUUUAUCUUGUCUUGGUAAAUUGAAAGAGUGUGGCUAUCUAGCACUGGCUUGGAUUAUGAUGUGCUUUCUAUGCCUGAAGUUUAAAUUAGAAAUUCUGAAUUUCAAGCUAAUUUUUUUUCUUACAUGUCUGAUUGGGAAUAGAGUUAAUGUCGUUUUCCCCCCCUUUCAUUUCCAUGUAUCAUUUUGUUAGAUUACAAAGGGUCUAUUGACUAUUAGAAAAAUGAUAUUCAUUUGCCGGUGAUAAAAAAGAUCUUCAAUUUGCUUUACAUAUCAGGUAUAUCAGUCAUUUUUAUGUGAUUGGCAUCAUUUUACUAAAAAAAUAUGACCUCAGGAUGAUUCCAUUGACAUGGGACUACAUGAUGAGAUUUGUUUAUGCAUGUUGAUGUCUAGAAGUUUUGCAUGAGAUUUGAGGUUCUUUGGUUCAUAACUGGUCUUUAUUGCUUGCUCUAUUAUAAAUGCGAGUAGCAUUAAGAUGCUAUAACUGUUAUUCACAUUCAUUGACAGGUUCAACUAGAGCCGACUUCCUUGUGGACGUCACUACAUAGGGAUUUGUCUAAACCCUCAAAAUAUACUGGCAUGUUUCAAGCAACCAAAGAUAUUUUUAGAGAAGAAGGCAUACGGGUAGAAUAAUUCAGCUUCUGUAAUUUAUUUAUUUUAAUUUCCCCUAUACUCUACUUCCUUCAGUAACCUGUCCCUGUUCCCAUAUCCCUUGAAAAGGUUUUGGACUUUGGCUGAUGGCAACAUUAGCAUUUGAAACAACGCUUGAAUUGCAAAAAAGAUCUUGUGGAAGAUUCACAUCGACCUUUACGCCAUGGAAAAAUGUAUAUAACCAUUUUUAUCUGGCAUAUUAUAGGGAUUUUGGCGGGGUAAUGUGCCAGCUUUGCUCAUGGUUAUGCCAUAUACAGCUAUACAGUUUACUGUUUUACACAAAUUGAAGACUUUUGCCUCUGGUUCAUCCAAGACAGGUAUCCUAAUUUGUAGAAUAUUAGCUUGAUGAGCAAAGUAAACACUAGGUGUUUGUCUACUAAGUUUUUUUGGUUGGAAAUUUGUUUGGAAUAUGGUUAAUGUGACUGGAAGGUCACGGGUUCAAGUCCUGGAAACAGCCUCUUGUGUAAAAACAGGGUAAGGCUGUGUACGAUACACCAAAUGGUGGGACCCCUUCCCGGACCCUGCGUAUGCGGGAGCUUUAGUGCACCAGGUUGCCCUUUUUUUUUAUGGUUUAUGAUUGAAUGUUAUGGCGUACUUUGAUCCAUGUAGCCAUCCCCACUUAGUGGGAUAAGGCUUGGUUGUUGUUGUUGUAUAAAUUCUUCAUGUUUUUUACAGUAUAAUGCUAAAUUAAAAUUUUAUCUCAAUAAUUUAUUUAUUUUUGGUACAAUUUACUAAUAUAUUUUCUGUGCCAAUGUUCACUUUCGAGAUAUUAGUGAUUAAUUAAUUACUGCUGGGUUUCCUGUUCUAGAUUUAUUUUGUUCAUUGUUUUAAUUCCUGUUGCUGCAGAGAAUCACAUAAAUUUGAGCCCUUAUCUAUCCUAUGUAAGUGGGGCGGUAGCUGGGUGUGCGGCUACUGUAGGGUCAUAUCCAUUUGAUCUUCUUCGAACUAUAUUAGCUUCUCAGGGUGAACCGAAGGUACGAGCACUAUAUAAAAUAAUCAAGGUUAUUAUGAGAUAGUUUUGAAAUAAAUUACUGUCACAUAUAUUGGUGUGUUUUAAAGGCCAGUGAAGGAAAAUACAAGCAGCUAUCAUGAUCAACCUACAUUCUCGGUCCCAAUUUGCAUUUCCAUGCAUCAAGCCCAAAGGCUAUUGCCAGAGGGCAUUAGAGAUGUAAUAUAAACCAUUCUUGUGUAUUCACAUAUCAACUUAAGCAUUUGGGAUAAUGGAUUCAUGUCAACUUUUUUUUUCUUCCAAUUUUCGGGCGGGAAAGGAGUGUUCACCUUUGUUUGCUUCUUGUCUACUUAGUGGUAUUUCACAUGGGCUUUUGUCAGAUCUUAUCUCAUGUAUUAUUUUAGUGGCAUAAAAGCUAAGUUAAACCUUAUGUUUAGUGAUCGCCUAGAAAGGCACCACAACAUGGUUGUUUGUUGUAAUGGCAUUAAAGAAGUGCCCAAAAUCUGUUUCCCUAGCUCUGAUCUUAAAAUGGUUGUAUGGAAUAUACCCCACCCUUAGAUUCAUAUGAGAUUAUAAUCAGUAAUGAAAAGGGUUAGCGCAAUGAGGAGUUAUUGCCAUGCGACUGGAAGGUUAUGGAUUUGAUUCACGGCAUUAAUAUCUUGCAGUUGCAAUGUAAGACUGCCUAUAAUAGAUCCAAAUACAUUUGAAUCUUCCCUAAACCUCACAAUUGUAGGAGCUUUAUAGCACCAAUUUAUCAUUAUUAUAAUCAGUGAUGAGCUAAGAAACAUAGAUACUGUAUUUUUAAAAUGGUGGUAGACAUGACUGUCAUAUACGCAUAAAAUUAAAAACAACUAUCAUAUGCAUAAUUAGCCAUAAAUCUGAAAUCCAAAGAAAAAAUAAAAUGAGUUACUGUAAUAUUAUUAUUUAUCUAAUUAUUGUGGUAUUUUAAUCUUAAUUGGUAUAGAAGUCCAGAAGUAAAAAAAAAUGUAAAAUAUAAGUAGAAGUGUCCAUAAAGUGGCGGCGCAAAUAUGUAUUUGACACAGCUAUGACAUGACAACUACUAUUCGCUUCAUUUGUAAUGCACUGCGUUUGUGUUUCACCCUGCAGAUAGGUGGGGGGAACUCAUCUUCUACCCCUAGACAAUAUAAGCUUUGAGUGCAUAGUUUGAGACUUUUAUGGUCAUUGUGGAUUUUUAAUUUUUUUUUUUUUUUUUGUAUUUAUGUUAUGCUAAUAUUUCCCUAGCAUAGGUUUAUCCAAACAUGAGGUCAGCAUCCAUUGAUAUUCUCCAGACCCGUGGAUUUCGAGGCUUGUAUUCCGGAUUGUCACCGACACUAGUUGAGAUUAUACCUUAUGCAGGCCUACAAUUCGGCACUUAUGAUACAUUCAAACGUUGGACCAUGGUAAAAUUUCAGUCCUUCAAUUUGAGGUGUCAGUUUUAUUUAAUUGACAUAAAUAUACCCUGCAUGUAUUGGACGUCAUUUGGUUGUUGUGAAACAACGGUAUGGUCUUAUAUUGUGUCGUACUUAAUAUUCUAGCCUGCUUUUCCUUGUCUUGUCCCAUCAUAUUACAAUCUUCAUUGAUGUGAAAUGAUUCUAGAAGAACUGUAAUGUCUCAAGAUGCGUCAAUUAGUUAUUUGCAAUGAUAAGUUAUUGUUUACAAGGGUUACUUUAUGUUGUCUCAUAUUUUCUUCGCAUGGUUGAAUCUUACAGCAACCGAAGUCUUUUCAUACUACAUUGGAUCAAUCGCAUGAAACAAACAAUGUUGUAUCAUUUCUUGUAUGAUAUCUGGGAAUGGACGCUCAUGUGUAAUUUACACAUGAGAGAGUAAAGUGUAAGCUAUGAGUCUAUGACCAUUCAAACUCCAUCUAAAUUCUUCAUGUGUUUCUCUCUCUUAAUGAAUGGUGAGAGAUUACACUUUACUCUCAUGAGAGGAUCCAUUCCAGAUAUCUACAUAUAGCUCAUCAUUUUAAUCUCUCUUGAUAGUUUCCAAUUUAUUUGGUCUCGCUCUUCCUCUAACACAGUUGAAUCUUCAUUUCACUUUUAGAAACUGCACCAUUAAGCUGGUAAAUUCUACUGUGUAUACUUUUCAGAACUAUGUUUAGAAAUUAUUUUGCAAUAGCUAUUUAUUCUGCAUCAGCAAACCUAUACAGCAUUUCAUAUUCUUAUUAAAGCUGUGUCUGAAGCUCUACACCGUUAAUCAUGUUCAUCUCUAACACCUAGAUUAGGACUUUUGGGUCUGCAUUUCUUCAUGAUUAAAAUAUUGUAAAGAAAGUGGCUGACGAAGAAAGGAAACAUGGAACCGUUAAUACAAAAUUUGGUUCGCUUGUAAAUUGCAACAUCCAUAUAGAUAGAGUUGGGUUCCGCCAUAGGGCUAAUCAAUGCUUUGAUAUUACUUUCUAGCUAUCAAUUAUUUGAUCCCUGUUCUUUAAUAUUGUAUAUAGGCGUGGAACCAAGUUCAAUAUUCAAAUACUGCUGCAGAAGAGAGCAUCUCUAGCUUUCAGCUUUUCCUGUGUGGGCUGGCUGCAGGAACAUGUGCCAAGCUUGUUUGUCAUCCACUUGAUGUAGUCAAGAAAAGAUUUCAGGUAGAUUUAGAACGUGGAAUACAAAAACAUAAAACUAAGUAAACUUGUAUUGGCCUUAAUGUGGAUAUACAUAUGGAUUUUCGUUCUUUGUUUGCUGCAGAUUGAAGGUUUGCAAAGGCAUCCAAGAUAUGGAGCUCGGGUUGAGCAUCGUGCAUAUAGAAAUAUGUUUGACGCCUUGAAACGGAUAUUACAGAAAGAGGGUUGGGCUGGUCUGUAUAAGGGGAUAGUCCCGUCUACUGUUAAAGCUGCACCAGCUGGUGCUGUAACUUUUGUUGCAUAUGAAUUGACAUCAGAUUGGCUGGAGUCUAUUUUGACUUGAUUUUUUAUACACUCCAAGAUAAAGGAGAGGGUUUCAUGGUUUUUUUUUUUAAUCAUGCUGUCUCAAUUAAUUACCUCUUGAUAGGAAUGAAUCAUGCGGUAUAUGGUGGUUUAAUUCAAUCAAAAUAUACCUGAUAUGAUUCAAUUUACUUUUCAAUAUGGAAACAGUUUAAAAUAAAAGCUAAGAUGUUGCCUAGUGACACAUUUUACUUUUACUAAUUGGUGUGCUUCAGCUACUGAGAUGGUUAUUAUUCUUGUUAAGGUGAUUUUAAAUUCAAAAUUUAUCCAAAAUUUCACAGCAUUUCCUUCUUUCAACUAUAUCUCGGACAAAUCAGGGUUUCAAGAUUUAACAUAUGACAGGUUUUGCUUAAGUCGGAAGUGGUUAAUAUUCAUAUUUUCUAACAUCAGAGUCCACCAAAUGGUUUCGGUAUUUGAUAUAGUGCCUUUUCCCAGAUAAAACUCAAGCUCAAUAUGCGAGUGAUAUAAUCACACAAGUUAAGAACAUAAACAUAUAUUUAUGAAUUAUGUUGCUAAGCAAGAUCUUAAUUUGCUUAUAAUAAUUUAUAAAAGAUAAGAGGCUUUCAUUAAAGCAUAUUGUUGUGAAACACAGAAAAAUGAACACACAAUCUCAACAAAUGGGUUACAACCCUUAUUACAAUCAAUUCCCUCUCAAAAGUUAAUUUCCAUCACAACAAUCAAACUUAAUUGUUGAUAUUACAAGUCUUUAUAAAAAAACCAAGGACCUUGGCCGCACUAGUGCUUCUUAAUACAGUGAUUACAGUUCAAUAAAGACCUGAGGCUAGAGUACUCGGCAUUCACUUAUCUGUUGAAAACAACCAAGUAUACUUUUCAAUAGUCAAAACUUAAUCCACAAUUCACUUCAAAUCUAUUUAGAACAGCCUUUGGUCAGAUAGGAAGCAAUUAGCAAUGCUGUGGUAAAGCCAUUUAUCUCAGUGUUUUGUUUUUAUCUUCGCUUCUUCCUUCUGGAGGAUGAGACAGAAAUUGCAAGAUUUUCUGAAUCUGACCAACAUCGACCCGGAAUUUUUCUGCGAUCUGAUGAACAUCCAUAGGCCCAUUGUGGUCAUCAGCCUUGCCUUCAUGCAAGAGGAUGAUAUGGCGCAACUGUGCUACAUUUAAAGUGCCUGCAGGAACCGGCCUUUCCUCAUAAUGACCAGAAUUUGGUUUUGUAUUUCGCAACUUCGGCAUGGGCCUAUUAUACUUCUCAACCACAGAUGCCUGUAAAGAUAUUAUCAAAUUGUAAGAUAGGUUUGUCUCAGUAAACUAUGCACUAAAUAGUAAAGAGCAAUGCGUUGACAAUUGAAACUAUGCAGUCAUUGAAAAAAUAUAGUUUGCAAAAACUUCCGAAAGGGUUUAUUUCUCUCUCUUAGUAAAAUAAGCUUGAUCCAAGCAAAUACCAAGUACGCUGCAAAGCUUAGUCUAAUUGUUAUGUUCCUAUAGCAUUGUCCCAGUACCAUGAAUAAACAUUGACAGAAACCAUAAACUCGGCAUUUACUAUGAACACUGGAGAGAUUUCUCCAUUUAUUGCAAUAUUAGAAACAUAAAGUAUACAGCAAAGUAUUUUAAGCAAAAUAUCAGCUAGUAACAUACAAUCGGAGGUAGGAUUACUUUAGCAAAUUUCUUUUCAUUAAAACUAUAUUUGAAUUAAUACAUGAUAGGAAACUAUGAAAUCGUCUGACAUAUGUAACCAAUCCCGGCUUGGAGGUUUAUUGUUUGUGUUCCUUUCAUCUAACAGCACAAGCCAACAUACAAAAAUGGGAUUUCAUCACUCAUCAAUGCUGAUAAUACCAUCUUCUAAGCCAACAUACAAAAAUUUUUAUUGUUUGAAUUAAUGCCAUCUUUCAUUUAAUACAAUUCCAUUGUAGGUGUAAAUAUCAAAAUGGGUAAGCAUACAUGACAUACGACAUUAAAAAAAAUUACAUCGACAUGAACUCCAUAAAAGGGAGUGAAGGUAACUUCCACAAACUCACCUCACCCAUUUCUCGUUUUCCCCCAGGCUUUGAUGUAAUCCUACCAAGCAUUUGACCAAGCAUAGCAUCAAAUUUGGGAUCUUUUUCUUCUAGGACGUUGUCCAAAUUAGCACUAGGACGAUCAUCUUAAGUCAACACAUGAAAACACCAUCAACAACCAUGAACUAUGAAAGUAGCAUUACAAAACCUCACAUAAAGGUAUAUUGCAAACACACAAUUGUGACUAAGGGAAAACUUCACAGUUAAAAAUAAGCUAUAGGCUACAGCUAGAAAUUUCACAGUUGAAAAUGCAAUGAAGUGGAAGAUUUCAAAGUUCAUGUUAAUUUGCUUGAUAGAGGAAGGAAAUGGACACACGAUUGAAAAUCUACUUCUAAAUAAUAGCCGUUGCAAAGACUAUAAUAACUUUUUUCUUUUGUUACAAGUGCGUGAUGAAAAGUUAAUUCUAACUGUCUCAAAAUAUAUUGUGCUGCAGUUAACUAUUCCACAAUUUGAUUGAAAUUAGAAACAUAAAGUGUAAACUGUAAACUAUAGUUUCACCAAAAUAUUCACCUCUCCAUUUUCUACUACCUCUGUUGCACGGACACUUCUGAUUGAAGACGUGUCCCGGUGUCUGACACAUGUCCUGUCUGACACCAACACGACACACACCAACACGACACACUGACACUUGUGAUUACAUUGAAUUAUGUGAUUUUCUCAAAAUUUUGUCGAUGCCGUCGUGGCCGUGUCAGUGUCUAUGUCCGUGCUUCAAAGUCUACUACCUAUUUCAAGCAAAACCAAGCUGGUCCUAGGUCAUGGAUAUAGUUUCAUGUGAAAAGAUACAGAGUCUAUUUGGGUUGGCUUAUUUGAAGGUUAUCUACUAAUAUAAGUACAUGUGUGGCUGUUUGGGAUAUCAUGUGAAAACAACUUAUGACAUGACCAUAAGCUGUUUUCAGCUUAUUUCCACAAGCUAUCCAAGACAGCUAACAACUUAUAAUCUAAAUGAAAACAUAUUAACUUCAUUUUAUCCUUUGUUGUGGAAAUAACUUGCACAUAAGCACUCAUAUGGUAAGCAAAUAUGCUAUAGUAAGUGCUUAAUGAAAUGGUUUAUCUCAAUGGUAAAUUAAAAAACAGAACUUUCAACUGAAUAAUGAUAUUCACAAACCACCACAUUGUUCAGGGCCUUAGAAUCUUUGAAGUACCCAAUAACAUUUUCGAAUAUCUACAAUGGCAUAACCCUAACCAACAAAAAAUUAAAACUAGAAACAAAGAGAAAGAGAGACUAACCAUCGUUCAAUGAGUCUUCUACUCCUUUUACGGUCUUUGAGCUAUCUGCUGCCUUGUCAGUGGCAACCUUCGGCGGCGGUGGUCGGUGGUCGACGGCGAUCUUGGGCUUGGACAAGGAUGACGUGUCAGUUUCGGAUGCGGCACGGAUUCUGCCAGAUGCUCGACGAAAUGCCUGACCCAUUGUUAAACUCAGGCUUAUUGUUGUUCGCUACGAAAUUCGAUUGAUUAAUUCGUUAUUAUAGUUACAACCGUAAACAUCAUUGAAAACUAUGAAAGUUUGUAGUUGUUGUAGAAAAAAUAGAACCCCUGCGGUUUGUUGUUGUUGUUCCUGUUCGUGUUUACAAAGAAUAGCAUCAACCGAGAGUGACGUGGCCAGAGCCUAGAACGCAAGUUUAAACAACAUCAAAUUUAUUUAUUUUUGCUUAUUUUUAAGAGGUAAACAAUUACUUCUUUUUUUUUUUUGUCAAUUUAUGAAUCUUGUUAGUAAUAAAUUUAAAACUCAAAUUGAUAUAAUCCAAAAGAUCACAUAAAUUGUCUAUAUAGUAAAGUCAAGACAUCAAAAUUAAACCAAGACUACAUGCAUAUAAAACUCAAAUAUAUGUAGGAUUUGAUUUCACUCCGAGAACGGGAAUUAUAUAUAUUAAAAAAAAAUUCUACAUUACCCUCAUUUGUUUAGAGGGUAUUUACCCAUUCAAGAUAUCAACCAAUCAAAAUGUAAUAUACAAAUGUAAAAUUAAAUGUCAAAUAAAUGAGUCAAUUUUUCUAUAAAAAAAUCAAUUUUAAUAAGGUAACUUUUAUUUUUUUAUUUAAUUAUAUUUAAGUAUACAAUAUUAAUUAAUUUACACUAUAGGCUUGUGACAAUUAAAAUUUCACAUCAAAUUCAACCCAUCAGGAUGUGUUUGGUAACACGAAUUAGCUAGCUUAUAGCUUGUUGGACUAGCUUAUAAGCUUGUUUUGAUAUAAUAAGAUGUGUUUGGUAAAAAGCUUUUGUCACUAGCUUAUAGCAUUUUUUUAGAAGUUAUUUCAAGUAGCUUUUGAGCUUAUAGCUGGUAGUUAUUUUAUAUUUUCUUCCAAUUUUAACCCUAUUAAUUUAAUUUAAUUAUGUUUUAAUAAAACAACAUGUUCAUGGCUUAAAAAUAAUGGCCAAGUUCAUAGCUUAUUUUUUUAAUAAAACAACUGCCAUGUUUUCUCCUUUGAAAAAAAUUGUCAUGCUUUAUUUUAUUUUUUAAUGAACGCUUUAUAUUUAAAUAUAACUAGCUUACAGUACGUUGUAAAAUUUUAUAUAUUCUUGCUUGCAUUUUUUUUUCCACCUUCCUCUAUUUUUGGGAUUCAUAAAAGUACAUAUCAAUGAGCUUUUGCCCUCUUUUGUACAAAAAAAAAAAAAAAAACAGAGAUCAAAAUUGUCGGUGAAAUUUUAUUGGAGACUAAAACCAAAAGUUUGAAUAUUUAUAGGGAAUCAAAACAUAGUUAACCAUAAAUUAAAAUAUUAAAAAAUAAAUACCUUAGAAAAAAUGUGUGUAUAUAUAUAUAUAUAUACACAUACACAUGUACUUUUAUGUCAUUUUAUAUUUAUCAGCCACUUCAACAUCUAAUUUUACCAAACACUUCAAUUUUAAUAAACCAUAUUUUCAGAUAUAAGCUAUCAGUUAUAAGACAUCAACUAUAAGCUAGUUUUUCAGCUUUCAGCUAACUUAUAGCUUAUUUUUUUACCAAACACACCCCACAUACGUUCAUAAAUUUUGUUCAGUUCCAAAAUAUAGAACAUACAUAACGUGCAAUUUCUUCUUCAUUCUUCUUCCCAUCUUGAUUGUUCAAUUCUCUCGUUCCAGAAUUGCCGUCGUUUCCAUUUAUCGUGAGAAUCGUUUUCGUCCAUUUGAUUCCAGACAUUGUGAGAAUCGAUGUUGUUUCCAAAAGCUAUAUCCACAAAUUGCUCACGAAUUAACGCUCACCAUAUGAAAUUCAUGUUUGUAUUAGCAUUAUUUAUUAUUUAUUUAUUUCAUUUUGUCUUCUCUUCCAUAGCUUUAACCGACCUCACACCGUGUUCGCAAUCUCAACAAAUUUUCAUUUCAGCAACACAAAAUUCACCAGCAGGAUCAGAAACAACAUAACAACAUAAUAUAAUGAUUUGAAUAAAACAAAUUCCAAAAGUAAAUUUAAUAAUCAAUAUUGUACCAAAAAUAAAAUUAAUAAUCAACGCAUUGAAUCUUAAUCAAAUGCAAAAUGUGUGAUAAAAUACAAUUUUAUAUAAUCUCAAACAACUCAAUCAAACUCAAAACCCAAAUAAAAAUGAAAACAUCAUGGGAAUUCAUGUCAAAGUUGAAAGUCACCAAUGUCGCAUUAUAAAUGUGUUUUGGUUGCAAUCAAGUCACGACAGUAGUGAGAAAGAAACGAAAAUGAAAAAUCAAAUCAAGAAGAAAAAUCAAGUCACGAUACCUUAUGUGAUUAUUGAAACAACACCAAUUACUCACAAUGUCUGGAAUCAAAAGGACGACAACGAUUCUCACGAUAAUUGAAAACGACGACGAUUCUCGAACGAGAAAAUUGAACAAUCAAGAUGGGAAGAAGAAUGAAGAAGAAAUUGCACGUUAUGUGUGUUCUAGGUUUUGGAAUGGAACAAAAUUUAUGAACGUAUGUGAGGUGUGUUUGGUAAAAAUAAGCUAUAAGUUAGCUGGAAGCUGAAAAACAAGCUUAUAGCUGAUGUCUUAUAACUGAUAGCUUAUAUCUGAAAAGAUGGUUUAUUAAAAUUGAAGUGUUUGGUAAAAUUAGUUGUUGAAGUGGCUAAUAAGUAUAAAAUGACAUAAAAGGACAUGUUUAUAUAUAUAUAUAUAUAUAUAUAUAUAUAUAUAUAUACAUUUUUUCUAAUGUAUUUAUUUUUUAAUAUUUUAAUUUAUACUUAACUAUGUUUUGGAUCCCUAUAUAUAUUCAAACUUUUGGCUUUAGUCUCCAAUCAAAUUUCACCGACAAUUUUGAUCUCUACUUUUUAUUUUAUUUUUUUACAUAAGAGGACAAAGGCUCAUUGAUCUCUAUAAGCUAGCUUAUUCGUGUUACCAAACACAUCCAUGAUGGGUUGAAUUUGAUGUGAAAUUUUAAUUGUUACAAGCCAUAUAGUGUAAAUUAAUUAAGAUUGUAUAUCUAAAUAUAAUUAAAUAAAAAUUAAAAGUUAUCUUAUUAAAAUUGAUUUUUUUUAUUAGAAAAAUUGACUCAUUUAUUUGACAUUUAAUGUUACAUGUAUAUUACAUUUUGAUUGGUUGAUAUCUUGAAAGGGUAAAUACCCCCUGAACAAAAGAGGGUAAUCUAGGCCUCACCUAUAUUAAAUGGAUGGCUUGCAAAAGAGUUCCAUCACCACUAAGGUACACCUAUGCCUAUUUUUUUUUUAAAACAACCUAGUUCUUCUGUACAUGGAAAUAGAUUAAUGAUCUUAACAAUCAUGCUCAGAUAUCUUUCAAAAUUCAUCCAUUCAUGAUUACAUUAGAAUAACAUAGGCUUUCAGGUCAUUGGAUACAACAAACAUUUUAGUUGCCGCCACUCAGUGUUUGAACAAUGGUGUUGUGCCAUGGGUCUGAAAGGUGCUCCAAGAGGUUAUCAAAUCGUCCUUUUCCUGUGACAUUGUGCUGACUGAUAAAUCCCAAGAAUGCCAACAUUGCCAAUCUACCGUUAGAAAUUUCCUUCUCUUUAGCCUCCAAAGUUGGUGCAAAGUUCAAAGGGUUAAAAAUUCCACUGGGGUAACCAACCUCACCCUUUGGCAAGCUGUAUUGCUUGAAGAUAGGAUCUUGGUUGCCUAUUUUCCAAGUGUUAAGUCCUGCAAUUUUCAAGCAUAAUUAAAACAAUCACUAUGCUACAUAUACCAAGACUAUUUCAAAAUAUUUAUCUUAUUGGGUUCAGUCUUUUCUAUCAAGCAUUUUGCUAAUAUGAUCAUGCAGAGUAAUAUAGCCUUGCAUAUACUAAAUUUGAUCAUUAGAAUUCAUCAGAUGGAAAAGAUAAGCAUUAUGGUAGCAGUGCACACCUCCUUCACUUAAGUGACAUUGAUAUAGCAUUAGGCUUAAUAUGACCACAUAUAGAUUUCAUUUAUAAACUUUGACAGAAAAGCAUGGUCAUAUAUAAUGAAAAUGGUUUUAGCUACACAAAGUGACAUACAUGUGCAUAAUUUUAUAUUUUUAGAGUAUCCUUCUUUGUACUAUAUAAUACUAUAGCAGCACUUUGGUUGAUUUGACUUAAUCAAAAUUAAUAUAGCAACACUUUAAUUGCAAGGACAAAGCAGAUCAACAUCAAUUCAUCAUCUAAUACAAUAAGUACAUAUUUAUAUCAAUAUGCAUUCAUGUAGAAAACAUGUCAGAAAUAAAAUAUAUAAACUAUAGUUUAUAAACAUCAAAAUACAUGCUGAUUUUCAUUAUGUUAAAAUACUAAAUUGAAAAUAUUAGGUACACAAAUUGUUAUAAACAUCAAAAUCAAAAUCAAACUUGAAUUGGAAUAGUAUAACUAAUAUUGGAAUUGUCAAUGAAAUCGUAAAACAAAAUCGAUAUUAAAUCGAGAAAGAACAAAUUGAGUAAGAAAUUGAGAAAGAACAAAUUGCAUACCUACAUGGACGGUGGUCUUCAUAUGACGGUGCCAGAAGCAGAGGCGAUGAGGGUUUUAAAAACUUGGGUGAUUAAAAUUGUUGUGGUUACUAGUGAAAACGAUUAGGUUUUCAAUGAUGAAAUUGAAAGGAGGCGAUGGGAGGAGAAAUGAGAGAAGAGGCAAAUCUACUUUUUCCUUUUUCAAAAUAAAGAGAAAGAGAACGCUUAACCUGAAGAAGAAAGGGGACAUUGGAAACUGAUAAAAUAAUUAAGCGUGAGAAAUAAAAGCGUGAGAAUCAAAGUGGAAUGUUGAUUAGGAAUACCACUUAGAAGGAUUUAAUGCUAUCACAAUGGAGGGAAAAAUUAGAGUUGAAUUAGGGUAAAUGAUAGCUUGACCAAACAAGAGAAAGAUCACAAUGGAGGGAAAAAUUAGGGUUGAAUUAGGGUAAAUGAUAGCUUGACCAAGCUUUAGUAAGAGAGUAUUGCUGUUGACACAUUAUGUUUGGCUGAGAAACACCAGUAAAAUACCAAAAUACCCCCUCUGCAGUUAACUGCCGAGCAAAAAUAAAACCGGCUGCAGUUAACUGCCGAGGAAAACCUCGGCAGUUAACUACCGAGGAAAACGAAAAUCCAGAAUUAUCAUCAUCAUGUUCAUGCUCAUGAAAUUUUUGGAUUUGAUUGUUGAUUUAAUUGUGAAUUGGGAUUUGAAUUGAUUUUUUUCCUGUUAUGAGUCGAAAUCAAGAUUUAAUGUAGAUUUAAAUCUUUCUAUGAAGUGAACAGCAGGAAGUACAAAGAAUCAAUUAGAAGCAGUUUCAAAUGGAAAGGCAAUAAUUAGAAGCAAUUUCUAUGAAUUGAUUUGAAUCUUGUUUAUGCCACCAAUAAGCAGUUUCAAAUGGAAACGUAAAAAUUAGAAGCUUUAUUGUUUCCCUGUGAAUUAUUUCCUUUUGUUGUUUAACGGAAAAUGUAGACUUAAUGGUUGAAAGUAGAUUUGGAUCUGCUUCUGCAACGAAAUCGGUUGAGGGGAGGCAGGAAGUUUGAUCGAUUUGAGCUUUGAAUUGGGGUUUAUCACCCCCACUGACAACGAAGAUGAUGAUAAUUUAUGCCAAACAUGAUGUGUCAACAGCAAUACUCUUAGUCAGAAAGAUAAGCUUAUAUGACAAAAAAAAAACUUGUUAGAUAACUUAUUUUUCUUACAAUCUUAUAUCUUAUUUUUCUUAGUUUAUAUAUUAUCAUUUUUUAUGUCCUUUUUAUCAAUCAUACAAAUUAAAUCUGGUAGUUUAUCCGUUAUAAGUUCACUUAUGGAUAAUAAGUUUAUAUCGAAUUACUUAUGAGUUAGUUUAUUAUCCGCUGUGUUUUGCCAAAUAGAGCUCUAAGACACUCUCGCUAAUAAAUAAUUAGAACAUUUUAUUUCAUUUACAAUUUUAUGAAUAAAUUUCUCUAAGAGAACACAUGAUUGUUAAUUAAAUUACUUAAUAAAAGUUCGUAAAAUAUAUCUCAACUAAAAAUGAUGCGAUUGUUGGACCGGAUAUUUUCUGAUGUUAUCCGAGUUUAAACUAAGGAUCUUCCUUUGUGUGUUUUAUGAGGUGAUUGAUAAUAAUAACUAAUAAAAAAAUGUUUAGGGCUAAACCCUAAACCCUAACAAAUAUCUAAUUAUCAAUAAAUGAUUCUAUUGUUCAAAAUCAAUUUUGAGGAUUUAAUGGAUCUGAAUCCUAUAGAGGUCACACCUUGCAGGGUCAGUAUGGAUGGAUUUGAAUUGGAUAUGAGUUUAGAAUUUAUCUCUCUUAUAUCUUACAGCUGAGUAGUAGAAUUUUACAGUGCAGUUAAACUACAACAUCUUAUUAUAAUAAAAAGAAAAUCAAACUACAACAUUGGCUUUCCAUCAGCUUGUUGUGUGCAUGGUGAAUCUUACAUUCGCCUCCUCUUCUUGCUCGUAUCCUCUUCAUACUUAUCGACAACAGCUUCCAAUGCUCUCUUUGUUGGUUUUGAAGGUCUUCUACUCUUCCUCGGAGUUUCUACAGCUUGAUUCCCGAUGUGACCCUCUGAUGUUGGAACUGUAACAGCAUUAGAGUCAUCAAAUUUGACCUCAGCAGGAACUUCAUUCACCAUAGUUUCAUCACCAUCAACUUUUUCAAAGGUCACUGCUAAGUUAAGAUCAAUAGUAGUUUCUACUGAAGGAGUUUUUUCAAAGUUGGCAGAUGCUCCACUAGUGCUCCCCUUAUCCAAGUACCUUACAGCAACGUAAUCGGAUUCCUUUAUCUGCUUCCCUUUAGAGUCUUUUCUAUCAGAAUCAUUUUUCGAAGCAGGAUCUUUGAUUAGUAGAGGGUAUGCAGCAACUUCAUCGAGGAGUUCUUUGAUAGAAUCAAAAUAAUCAACACCCUUCACGAGUUUCCUCGAAUAUUCUUCAAUUCCAGGGACAAUGAAAAUUAUAGCACUCUUAUUAGAAAGAAGACUACUAGGUUGCUCUGAAUGCCAACCGUUUGCUAGUAAACGAGGCCAAACAGACUCCCAGAAAAUGUCGCUUGCUUGCGUCUUGCUUAUUCUAAAAUCACCUGAAAGGAUGUGUACUAUUUCUAUAUAUGAUGUAAUCUUGGAGAAAUCUUUUUCUUCAAGAAUUUCAUAGAUAGACUUCAUAGCAUUUCCUUCAAGAUUUGUAGGAUCAUUUUGUGUACCAAUUCCUACUGCAUCGACAAAAGCUUCAACUCCAACUACAUCCUUCAAAGCAAAAACGUAGUCUUCGAGCGGCAAUUUUCCUCCCCAAAAAUUCUUACACACCUACAAAUUCCAAUGUGAUUGAAUUUAGUUUUAGCAAAUAACACAAUUGUAAGUGAACAUUCAUUACAACAAUAAUUUGUCAAAAAAAUAAAUAAAUUCAUUACAACAAUAAAUCUAAGCCAACAUACUAGAAAAGGGUUUCAAUUUGUAGAAGUGGUGUUCCAAUGGUAUAUAGACAAGAAUAAUGUGAGCUAUUUGAUCAUGAAUUUAGUAGGGAUUUGGAUCCUCUGCAUGCAACUAUGCAACAAUAUUUUGUUUAACCAGAACAUAAUAUUGAUGUGAAGUGAUAACACUUUUUCACAUGAAAAAUAUUGUCACACUAUUGUAGCAGGGGAGAGGAUUCAAAUUCAUCUAUGAGUGAUGUGUUAGUACUGUUUAUGAUUUUAUGUAAUGAUGAAAUGAAAUAGGAUAUAUAAACUUAGGAAUAAUUCAAUGCAGUAAUUACCUCGAAUAUUUUAUUGCACCAUUCCUCGGACUCAUUGUUGAGUAAAUGACGCAAAAUUUGUUGAUGAUGUGUUGGUUCUGACAUAAGUUUUCCCUUACCUUCAUUAUCUUUUAUUGCUUUCUUAUAUGCAUGCCACCUUAUAUGAUUCUCUGACUUGUAGAAUUUUGCAUAGUAGAAAAAUUGUACUUCACCUAUGGUCUUGCUACCAAUGAAUCUUUUCAGUUGAGAAAAGUUUUUGCCAAAUAUAAACAAUCCAAGCAUUAAACUGUCUACUUCUGGUUUAGUCCAAGUAUCAUUUGAACAUUUGUUGAAGGUAGGUGUCUUUGUAGUAUCAUCUGGACUCUCUGGAGAAUAAUUGCAGUCGAAUUUCAAUAUGAAAGAUGGAAUUUCUGCUUGGUAUUUGUUUCCAAUCCGAAUUAAUUUUUCGUCUCUUUGAUCUUCAAUGUUAUCAACUUGAACCAUAGUUUUCUGUAAAAAUAAAUUAAAUAAAUUUUAAGAAGAAUAAUUUUAAGAAGAUUGUAAGCAAUAGAAAAAUCUUGUGUAUUUACUAAAGUCAUGCAUCUGAGACCAUCUGAAUAAAAUUAUACGAUUAAAGUUUCAACUACAUUUAUGUGAUUUAUGAAGUCAAAAUGUGAUUUAUGAAGUCAAAAUGUGAGAUGUAUGAUUAUGACAAUGACAAAUAUGUGCACUCACUCUAAAAUAUAGUAUUUAUUAAUGAAAAUAAUAAAUGUGUGUGAUUUUCAACAAAUAAAAAUGCGAGUUGAUAAAAACCUAAUGUAUGGUUCUCAACAAUCCGAUACUACUAAGGAGAACCCUAAUUCCUACACUCAAUUUUUCAAAGGUUUUACAAAAAAAAAACUACUACCUGACACUGACUAUUAAUGAAAACUACUAAUGCGAGUUGAUAAAAAACUACUAUUAAUGAAAAACAGUUUCAUCAAAAUAUUGCCAAAAGAUAAUUCUUGGACAAGGGAAAACCAUAACCCAAACUUAAUCAAUUAAUCAAAUCAGUUCUAGUAAAAAAAAAAAAAAAAAAAAAAAAAAAUGAAACAUGAGGAACCGCGAUCAGAAGUCUAUGAAUUUACUACAAAUCGAGGAAUUUCAAUGGUCAUGUUUCUCUGAGCAAAGAAUCAAUCACUUCAAAAAAUGGUAUCAUUCAAAGAAAAAACUAUAAUCGAGCAACAAUCAUUGAUGAAAAAUAAUUAAAAAUAUAUACAUCAAAACGACAUAGAUAAAAGCAUGAAGAAACAUAAUAGCACAGGCACCCCAUUGGGGUUUUCGGUGAGAAAUAUAAAUAAAAAAAUAAUCCAAUGCGAUCCAAGAUUUAGAUUAUUCACUCAACAUAAAAAAGAAAUCGAUGACAUAUUCACUACAUUAAAUUGUACAACUCCAAUCAAAGCAUGGUGGCAAAGCCACAAUACUAGAAGAAAAAAAGGAAAGAAAAAAAAAACCUAAAAGGUGAAAGAUAAAACGAGGAGAUUCGUAGUAUUACCUCCGUUGUAGAAGCUAGAGAAAGCUCUAGAACGAUGAAGAAGCUAGCUUGAAAAGGGGUGUUUAUCGUUACACACCUAGUGAAUUACAAACAAUGCAAAAAACAUGAACAAGAAGAGUCGUCUACAAGGACACAAUGCACAUAUACGACUUAGUGCAAUUUGAAGGAGGGAGGGAGGGGGAGAGAGAGGGGGAGAGAGAGAGACUUGUGUGCGUUAAGGAAGUAACGCCUUGGAUGCGAAAGAAAUAUAUGUAAUGAGUAGAAAGAAAGAAAACAAAUAUGAUGUAUAUACCCACGUAUAAACGAAAUGCUUAGUUUUGUUUUUUUUGUUUUUUUUUGCGUUAACUAUUCGAUUACAGGAGAAAGGGGUCCUGAUAAUCCAAAAUUUGGCCAUGAGAUAAGGAUAGCAUGACCAAAAAUUGUUUCACCUAGGAAUCGAACUUGGGAACAAUUCGUCCUUGAUGAAGUUCAUUAACCACCUAAGCUUCCGAUUAUACAUUUCAUUUAAACUAUUAUAUUUUUAAUUUUACACUUUUUAUAAUAUUGUUUAAAUCUUUUAAUUAAAAAAUUAGAUAAAUGUUAUUGUAAUAAAAAUAAUAUCACUACAAAAUUAUUUUAUUCUAGCCAUUACGUUACUUGACAAAAAAAUUAUAUUUUAAAACCAAAUCUUCAUCCGUUGACAUUUGAAGUUUAAAAAUCUCUAUGCAAAUGUGGACGAAAGACUAAAAUAAAGUUUAAAAAAAAAUAAAAUAAGGGACUAUCAUUUCCUAAAAGUAAGUCAAGGUAAUAAAGAAAAAGUUUUGCCUUCUUUUUUUAAAGGAUAAUGAGGGGCAAAGGCAUCAAAAGAGGAAAACAUCUCAACUAUGAACUACUAUUUAAUUUAAAUAAAAAUGGAAAUCAUAGAAUGGAAAAUUAUUAAUUCUUAAGUAUUUGGUUUUUUAAGUAAAAAAAUAAAAAGUAUCGGGUGUCUUAAAAAAAAUAAAAAGUCACAAUCCAACAAAUAAUUGAAACUUAACAUAAAGUAUACAACACUUGCUAUUUCUCAAUGCUAAGAAUUUAGCAUUACAACCUCAAAAUACCGAGUUCAAAUCUCAUUUAAAGAUAGAUAUGAUAGGUUGUUUGAUCUUCCUGUUAAUAAAUUAUCCACAAUUGUGGAGAUGUUCUCUUUAGGGUGGAAAAUAAAUGGUAAGGCGUGGGAGUGGCGUAGGAGUUUGUUUGCGUGGGAGGAAGGGUUGGUGAGGGAGUGUGCGGAGCAACUGUCACUUAUUGUUUUGUAGGUUGGAUGUGACUGAAAUGUGGAUUUAGAAGCUUCAUUCUU